Molecule: ribosomal RNA, 501 nt
Filed under: uncultured bacterium
Lineage: Bacteria
Description: partial 16S ribosomal RNA
Rfam family: Bacterial small subunit ribosomal RNA
Source: RNAcentral
AUUGAACGCUGGCGGCAGGCUUAACACAUGCAAGUCGAGCGGGGAAGGGUAGCUUGCUACCUGACCUAGCGGCGGACGGGUGAGUAAUGCUUAGGAAUCUGCCUAUUAGUGGGGGACAACAUUCCGAAAGGAAUGCUAAUACCGCAUACGCCCUACGGGGGAAAGCAGGGGAUCUUCGGACCUUGCGCUAAUAGAUGAGCCUAAGUAAGAUUAGCUAGUUGGUGGGGUAAAGGCCUACCAAGGCGACGAUCGGUAGCGGGUCUGAGAGGACGAUCCGCCACACUGGGGCUGAGACACCGCCAAGACUCCUACGGGAGGCAGCAGUGGGGAAUAUUGGACAAAGGGCGCAAGCCUGAUCCAGCCAUGCCGCGUGUGUGAAGAAGGCCUUUUGGUUGUAAAGCACUUUAAGCGAGGAGGAGGCUACUGGUAUUAAUACUACCGGAUAGUGGACGUUACUCGCAGAAUAAGCACCGGCUAACUCUGUGCCAGCCGCCGCAGUAA